Molecule: long non-coding RNA, 206 nt
Filed under: Elaeis guineensis (African oil palm)
Lineage: Eukaryota; Viridiplantae; Streptophyta; Magnoliopsida; Arecales; Arecaceae
Description: long non-coding RNA (EGUI_LNC028650)
Source: RNAcentral
GGGAUCUCUUUUGUGUGUGAUCUUAUACAUUCUAUUCUAUCUGGUAGUGAGAUAUAUUAUGAUCUUCAAUACAAAUAUCAUUGAAACUUCUUUCAAUGGAUUGAAAUAAUUUUAACUCAUCAAUAAAAAUUAUUGACCAUCAAAAUAAUUCUUGUCGGUCUCACAAUCCACCAAUGACGUCUAGCAACAUGUAAUGGCAAUCUAGC